GACGAACGCUGGCGGCGUGCUCAACACAUGCAAGUCGAACGGAAAGGCACUGCUUUUGUGGGGUGCUCGAGUGGCGAACGGGUGAGUAACACGUGAGUAACCUGCCUUUGACUUUGGGAUAACUUCAGGAAACUGGGGCUAAUACCGGAUAGGAGCUCCUGCUGCAUGGUGGGGGUUGGAAAGAUUCGGCGGCUGGGGAUGGACACGCGGCUUAUCAGCUUGUUGGUGGGGUAGUGUCUUACCAAGGCUUUGACGGGUAGCCGGCCUGAGAGGGUGACCGGCCACAUUGGGACGAUUAUGCGGCCCAGACUGCUACGGGAGGCAGCAGUGGGGAAUAUUGCAAGAUGGGCGGAAGCCUGAUGCAGCAGCACCGCGUGCGGGAUGACGGCCUGCGGGUUGUAGACCGCUUUCGCCUGUGACGAAGCGUGAGUGACGGUAAUAGGUAAAGGAGCACCGGCUAACUACGUG
RNAcentral lists this ribosomal RNA (468 nucleotides) under uncultured bacterium. RNAcentral's name for it is "partial 16S ribosomal RNA". It matches the Rfam family "Bacterial small subunit ribosomal RNA", at positions 28 to 507 of the family's 1533-position model. The record is from RNAcentral.